GAUGAAGAACGUAGCGAAAUGCGAUAAGUAAUGUGAAUUGCAGAAUUCAGUGAAUCAUCGAAUCUUUGAACGCACAUUGCGCCCGCCAGUAUUCUGGCGGGCAUGCCUGUUCGAGCGUCAUUUCAACCAUCAAGCCCCAGGCUUGUGUUGGGGACCUGCGGCUGCCGCAGGCCCUGAAAACCAGUGGCGGGCUCGCUGUCACUCCGAGCGUAGUAGUUACAUCUCGCUCUGGGCGUGCUGCGGGUUCCGGCCGUUAAAAGCCUUAUUUACCCAAGGUUGACCUCGGAUCAGGUAGGAAGACCCGCUGAACUUAAGCAUAUCAAUAAGCGGAGGA
RNAcentral lists this unclassified non-coding RNA (334 nucleotides) under soil metagenome. RNAcentral's name for it is "partial contains 5.8S ribosomal RNA, internal transcribed spacer 2, and large subunit ribosomal RNA". The stretch from base 1 to 120 matches the Rfam family "5.8S ribosomal RNA", at positions 35 to 154 of the family's 154-position model. The record is from RNAcentral.